CCGCCGGCGGCCGGCGCACGGGUGAGUAACACGUAUGCAACCUGGCCGUGACAGAUGGAUAACCGGGAGAAAUCCCGCCUAAUACAGCAUGACGCCGGGAAGGGACAUCCCUUUCCGGCCAAAGGGGGCGACUCCGGUCACGGAUGGGCAUGCGGCGCAUUAGGUAGUUGGUGGGGCAACGGCCCACCAAGCCGACGAUGCGUAGGGGUUCUGAGAGGAAGGUCCCCCACAUUGGAACUGAGACACGGUCCAAACUCCUACGGGAGGCAGCAG
RNAcentral lists this ribosomal RNA (273 nucleotides) under uncultured bacterium. RNAcentral describes it as "partial 16S ribosomal RNA". It matches the Rfam family "Bacterial small subunit ribosomal RNA", at positions 85 to 354 of the family's 1533-position model. The record is from RNAcentral.